Molecule: transfer RNA, 65 nt
Filed under: Octolasmis warwickii
Lineage: Eukaryota; Metazoa; Arthropoda; Thecostraca; Poecilasmatidae
Also listed under: 1 other name
Description: tRNA-Ile
Source: RNAcentral
AGUGAGGUGCCUGAUAAAAGGGUUACUUUGAUAGAGUAAAUAAUGUAUUAAGAAUACUCUCACUA